UGCAGUCGAACGAUAGUUGGGGCUUGCCCCAACGAAAAGUGGCGCACGGGUGCGUAACGCGUAUGCAACCUACCUUAUUCAGGGGGAUAGCCCGAAGAAAUUCGGAUUAACACCGCAUAAAAUCACAGCUCAGCAUUGAGUAAUGAUCAAAUAUUUAUAGGAAUAAGAUGGGCAUGCGUGUCAUUAGCUAGUUGGCGGGGUAACGGCCCACCAAGGCGACGAUGACUAGGGGAUCUGAGAGGAUGACCCCCCACACUGGUACUGAGACACGGACCAGACUCCUACGGGAGGCAGCAGUAAGGAAUAUUGGUCAAUGGAGGCAACUCUGAACCAGCCAUGCCGCGUGCAGGAAGACAGCCCUCUGGGUCGUAAACUGCUUUUAUUCGGGAAUAAACCUUUCUACGUGUAGAGAGCUGAAUGUACCGAAGGAAUAAGGAUCGGCUAACUCCGUGCCAGCAGCCGCGGUAAUACGGAGGAUCCAAGCGUUAUCCGGAUUUAUUGGGUUUAAAGGGUGCGUAGGCGGCUUAUUAAGUCAGGGGUGAAAGACGGUGGCUCAACCAUCGCAGUGCCUUUGAUACUGAUGAGCUUGAAUGAACUAGAGGUAGGCGGAAUGUGACAAGUAGCGGUGAAAUGCAUAGAUAUGUCACAGAACACCGAUUGCGAAGGCAGCUUACUAUGGUUUUAUUGACGCUGAGGCACGAAAGCGUGGGGAUCAAACAGGAUUAGAUACCCUGGUAGUCCACGCCCUAAACGAUGAAUACUCGCUGUUAGCGAUACACAGUUAGCGGCUAAGCGAAAGCGUUAAGUAUUCCACCUGGGGAGUACGCCCGCAAGGGUGAAACUCAAAGGAAUUGACGGGGGCCCGCACAAGCGGAGGAGCAUGUGGUUUAAUUCGAUGAUACGCGAGGAACCUUACCCGGGCUUGAAAGUUAGUGAAUGAUUUAGAGAUAGAUCAGUGAGCAAUCACACGAAACUAGGUGCUGCAUGGCUGUCGUCAGCUCGUGCCGUGAGGUGUUGGGUUAAGUCCCGCAACGAGCGCAACCCCUAUGUUUAGUUGCCAGCACGUUAAGGUGGGGACUCUAAACAGACUGCCUGUGCAAACAGAGAGGAAGGAGGGGACGACGUCAAGUCAUCAUGGCCCUUACGUCCGGGGCUACACACGUGCUACAAUGGGUGGUACAGAGGGCAGCAAGCUGGCAACAGCAAGCAAAUCUCAAAAAGCCAUUCACAGUUCGGAUAGAGGUCUGCAACUCGACCUCUUGAAGUUGGAUUCGCUAGUAAUCGCGUAUCAGCAAUGACGCGGUGAAUACGUUCCCGGGCCUUGUACACACCGCCCGUCAAGCCAUGGAAGUUGGGGGUACCUAAAGUAUGUAACCGCAAGGAG
This 1384-nucleotide ribosomal RNA is filed under the name Pedobacter foliorum. Its description in RNAcentral is "bacterial SSU rRNA". It matches the Rfam family "Bacterial small subunit ribosomal RNA". The record is from RNAcentral. Lineage: Bacteria; Pseudomonadati; Bacteroidota; Sphingobacteriia; Sphingobacteriales; Sphingobacteriaceae.